GCCAGCAGCCAUAUCACCCUGCAACUCACUAAAGCCAAGCAGGUGUGAGCCUGGUCAGUACCUGGAUGGGAGACCUCCUGGGAAAAACUAAGGUUGCUGCUGGAA
Molecule: ribosomal RNA, 105 nt
Filed under: Lepisosteus oculatus (spotted gar)
Lineage: Eukaryota; Metazoa; Chordata; Actinopteri; Semionotiformes; Lepisosteidae
Source: RNAcentral